CCUUACUCUUCGACAUAAAAGCACACUAACGCCUUUUAAAAAGCUCGGUUGAGUGUACAGGACAUCAGAACUGUACUAUGGUGUGAAAAGAAGAGACUUUAGAAACAUCUGUGGCGAUUUUCGUCGCGUAACCAACAUAGCGACCGGCGCUUUGGUGGAGUUUGACGUGGCACUCUGCUUUCACUGAGAAGAGGACUCUGCCCGAUAUACAGAUUGUCAAAACCCAUUCAUCUUGGCAUGAGAAGACAGUAACAGCCGUCCCAUCAAAAUGAGUCAACAGGGUUAUGUUGCUGCACCCCCAUACUCCCAGGCCCAGCCAAGGAUGGGGGGCUACCAAGGUGGAUUUGGACCUGGUCCUGCUCAGCCCUAUGGGCACUAUGGGGGAUCACCUCAGGCAUUCAAUGCUCCACCAACAGGUAUGAUGAAACCACCGGUUUCCUCUGCUGCUGGCAUGCCUCCACCUCCAGUUUCCAGUCAUUACAAUCCAAAUGUCCAGCAGAAUGGUGCUCAUCCACAAAGAUACCCUGCUCCACCAACUGGAUCUGCUGCUUAUGGACAACCUCCACAGUCGGCAUACAACAGCAUGGCCUCCCAGGCUCCGCCUCCAGGGCAGCAGCUUGCUAAUCAGAUGAGUGCUAUGAACUUGAACAACUACGCCCAGGGACCCAUGCAGAGCCCUCCUCCUACACCAAACUCUGUAGCCCAGCAGCCUUUCCAAAUGGCCCCUCCUCCAGCAAUGGGCCAGCCGCAGACACCUCCAGGCCCGCAGUCACCCCAAAUGCCACCUCAGAUGUCUCAACCACAGUCACCCCUGACAAACAUGCCAAUAGCAGGCCCACAGAUUGGAGGACCACCAAUGGCAGGCGCACAGAUGGGAGGACCACCAAUGGCAGGCGCACAGAUAGGAGGACCACCAAUGGCAGGCGCACAGAUAGGAGGACCACCAAUGGCAGGCGCACAGAUGGGAGGACCACCAAUGGCAGGCAUGGGUAGACCCUUCCCUGGGCCACCUCCUCCAGGUGCUGGAGGUUUCCAGCAGCCUGGUCCUGGAGCUGCUGGUCCACUUGGAUACCCACAGCAAGCAGGUCCGUUUGGGGGCAUGGCUGGGCCUCAGCCAGGCAUGCCUGGGGGCUUCCCUGGAGCACCAGCCCAACUGGCUGGCCCACCUCAGAAGAAACUGGACCCUGACUCUAUCCCCAGCACAACCCAAGUCAUUGAGGAUGACCAAGCUAAACAAGGAGGACAAGUCUUCAACACAAACAUCAGAGGUCAAGUUCCACCUCUGGUCACCACCGACUUCACGGUACAGGACCAAGGCAAUGCCAGUCCCAGGUUUAUGCGUUGCACCUCCUACUCCUUACCCUGCACCAUCGAUCUGGCCAAACAGUGCCAAGUGCCCCUGGCUACCAUCAUUAAACCCUUUGCCAGUUUGCCAAAGAAUGAGACUCCUCUGUAUGUUGUGAACCAUGGUGAGACAGGCCCCAUCCGCUGCAAUCGAUGCAAGGCCUACAUGUGUCCCUCCAUGCAGUUUAUUGAUGGCGGUCGUCGCUACCAGUGUGGUUUCUGCAACUGUGUAAAUGAAGUGCCAGUCUUCUAUUUCCAACAUCUUGAUCACAUGGGCCGGAGGGUGGACUUCUAUGAGAGACCUGAGUUGUCUCUGGGAUCCUAUGAGUUUGUAGCCACCCUGGACUAUUGCAAGAACAACAAGCCUCCAAAUCCUCCCGCCUACAUCUUCAUGAUUGACGUGUCCUAUAACAACAUUAAAAGUGGACUGGUCAAACUGAUAUGUGACGAGCUGAAGACUCUGCUGGACAAGCUGCCCAGCGAGGAAGGUGCGGAGAGCUCGGCGAUAAAGGUCGGCUUUGUCACCUACAACAAGGUCCUCCAUUUCUACAAUGUGAAGAGCGCCCUGGCCCAGCCCCAGAUGAUGGUGGUGUCAGACACAGCCGAGAUGUUCGUCCCGCUGCUCGACGGCUUCCUCGUCAACUACCAGGACUCCAAAGCUGUUAUCUACAAUCUCCUGGACCAGAUCCCUGACAUGUUUGCAGAAACCAACGAGAGCGAAACGGUCUUUGUCCCCGUCAUCCAGGCCGGCGUGGAGGCAUUCAAGGCAGCAGAAUGUAGUGGAAAGCUCUUCAUCUUCCACUCCUCCAUGCCCACUGCUGAGGCUCCUGGCAAACUGAAGAACAGGGAUGACAAAAAACUGGUCAACACUGAGAAAGAGAAAACUCUGUUCCAGCCUCAGAAAGGAGUGUAUGAGCAGCUGUCUAAGGACUGUGUGGCACAAGGCUGCUGUGUGGAUCUCUUCCUUUUUCCCAGCCAGUAUGUGGACUUGACAACCAUGGCUGAUGUGCCCUCACACACCGGAGGCUCUGUCUACAAGUACAAUAACUUCCAGGUGGAGACAGAUGGAGAGCAUUUCCUGAGAGACCUGAGGAAAGAUGUGCAGAAGAGCAUCGGAUUUGAUGCCAUCAUGCGUGUUCGUACCAGUACAGGCUUCAGAGCUACGGACUUCUUCGGUGCCAUCCACAUGAACAACACCACAGAUAUAGAGAUGGCGGCUGUGGAUUGCGACAAGGCCGUGACUGUCGAGUUCAAGCACGAUGACACACUCAGUGAAGAGACCGGAGCACACAUACAGUGUGCCUUAUUGUACACCACCAUCAGCGGGCAGCGACGCCUCCGCAUCCACAACCUCAGUCUGAACUGCACCUCGCAGCUGUCGGAGCUGUACAAGAGCUGUGAGACCGACUCACUCAUCAACUUCUUUGCCAAAUCAGCUUACCGUGCCAUAUUGAACCAGCCUCUAAAGAAUGUGAAGGAGAUCCUGGUCAACCAGACAGCCCACAUGCUGGCCUGCUACAGGAAGAACUGCGCCAGCCCCUCCGCUGCCAGCCAGCUGAUCCUGCCUGAUGCCAUGAAGGUGUUCCCAGUCUACAUGAACAGCCUGAUGAAAACUGCACCUCUGGUCGGCAGCACAGAGCUCUCCACGGACGACAGGGCUCACCAGAGACUGUCGGUCAUGGCAAUGGGGGUGGAGGAAAGUCAGCUGCUGCUCUAUCCACGACUCAUCCCACUGCACAACAUAGACGUGAACAGCGAGGCUCUGCCAGCUCCAGUGCGCUGCUCCGAGGAGCGUCUGGCCGACUCUGGCAUGUUCCUGCUGGAGAACGGCCACUCCAUGUUUCUGUGGCUGGGCCAAGCAAGCCCGCCAGACCACAUCCAGGGCAUCUUUAACCUACCCUCCCUCGCCCACCUGCAAGGACACAUGUGUGCGCUGCCAGAGCUGGACAACCCACUGUCAAAUAAGGUCCGAUCCAUCAUCAGUGGCCUUCUUGAAAAGAGGCCAAACUCCAUGAAACUCCAAAUUGUCAGGCAGAAGGACAAGCCUGAGAUGUUGUUCCGUCAGUUCCUGGUGGAGGAUAAAGGCCUGCACGGCGGAGCUUCCUACAUGGACUUCCUUUGCUACGUUCACCGGGAAAUCAGGCAGCUGCUCACUUAACCCCUCAAAGCUCAGCCCCUUCCUGACUGGCCUGGGAGAAACACAGCGUUAAAACGGACCAUGCUCAAAUCUCACAGGACAGAAGAGGAAACAAGGAACCAGCGAGAGCCUUUUGAGAUUCAACCUCGAGAGUCCAAAGCUGCCUUUCCAACACGCCUUUGCCACCUGUUAGUGUACAUUCAGUAUGAUCUUCAAAUAACCACUUGUCACUAGAGGAACUUCCAUUUUAAUCAGGAGGAAUGAAACGGACAAUAUGCGCACUCACUGCAUUUCCUGCACAUAUCUUGUUUGAUUGACUGAAGAAUGACAUUACCGCCUGAGCCUUCAAUGCAUUUUGGCAUAAGUCCCAUUGGCGUCAGCAAUACAACAUAUACAGUAACAGUCAAAAGUUUGGUUCCAAACUUUUGUCUGUUACUUUAUCUCCACUGUGCAAUGAGUAAAACAUUUUUUAAUAUCACUUUGUAGAUUUGCGCAGUCUGGAUAAGACAAGCGGUUAUUUGUGGGCCAUACUGUAGAUGUUCACUUUGAAAGUCAAUAAAUGAAGCUCGCCAGUCUUUGUUAUACACUUUCUCCCAUGAAGACUAGAUAUGUUAACAGUCUUAGUUAAUGUCGUAAUUUCCUUUUUUUAAAAACAAUAUAUGCUCAAAGAAAUUUUUACAAUAUUUAGAUGACUUUAAAGAGGUUGAAACAGUUUCUCACAAUUGCUGUCAUAGUGUAACAUGUAUUAAAUAAAUGCUUCUUGGAAACUCACAUUAAUUUUAAAUAUAGAGAAUAGUGAUCCAUAAUGCCAGGUCAUUCAUAAUGUAAGAGAAACAAUGGCUAAAUAUAAGCCACUGGGUUUCCAGGACUGAAAGUUGGUCCUGUCACUACACCAUGAGUGAUUCAAAGCAUUCAGAUUUUUCGACCAUUUAUGGCAGAGAUACAAUCUCCACAGUGUGCAGUGACGCAGAAAAUGUUUUGUUUUGGUGCUCUGAGGAUACAAUGAAAAGACCAGCUGUGUUUCUCUUCUUAGAGAGCAAGGACCAACUUGUGUCACGAUGAAGAAUGUCGUCAUGAAUCAUGAACACUUCUUUAUCUUCAGUGCAUGAGUCAGAAUAUGUACACAAAAGCGACUUUUAAGGGAUACUUAUUUAAAUAUGUAAUGAGACCGGUAUGAAAGAGGAAUGGACCGCUGAUGAUGCUGAGAGGUGUCAGGAUUUGCCAACGGAGCAAGUUUAAGGAUGGAAUAUAAAUCUUGUUGCAAUGAUUCAUUUAAGGAAAUACUGUCCAACAUAGCCAUAUUUUUAUGAAAGAGCAAACAAAAGCUGUUUACCUCUGUUAAGACGCACAAAUCAGAUUUGUGGAAUAUAUCAAAAUGUGUGGACAACUGUAAAAUGAUCAGUUACAAGACCAUCAUCAGAUUUUUUGUCACUGUUCAACCAUCCAAAUUCAGUAAAAUCUAGUUACUAAUUACUAUUAUCUGCAAAAUAGUCUGUAAUGAUAAUAUUUAACAUUUCAGUCAUGCGUUUUCAGCCUUGCAUUGUUUUUUAUGGAGGUUGUUGCUUCUGUGUAAUUCAUGUUAUGCAUUUGCUAAAUAUUGUAUGAUCUUGUGUACUUGUGGCCUACAAAAAGUCUUUUUGUACAUGAAAUACGCAACUUGAGUUUAAUAUUACCAUCUGCCUUAAGUUGAUAUAUAAGUGGUUAAAAAUAUGUGUCUUAGAGGUAUAUGUCUGAUUCCAAUCUGUUUGGUUUGUAUGCAAACUUAUCUCAGGUAAUUUGAGUACCUUACUUGUUUAAACAGUGAUUUGAAUUUAACUGGAAAGAUGGAUGGUUGGUUUUUGGGGUAAGACUUGUGAAAAUUCAUGGGCUCGUUGUGCCAUGUACAUUUUUUUUUAUUAAAGGACAGAUGCAAGUCAUACAAUCUACAAUUAAAGCAAUAUUUUUCCUUC
Thunnus maccoyii (southern bluefin tuna) is the source of this 5430-nucleotide RNA transcript. It is a transcript of the gene named SEC24 homolog D, COPII coat complex component, with no coding region annotated. The record is from RefSeq and is a predicted model, not a curated record. NCBI's taxonomy places the organism in Eukaryota, Metazoa, Chordata, Actinopteri, Scombriformes, Scombridae. The transcript is spliced from 25 exons.